GAUGAAGAACGCAGCGAAAUGCGAUACUUGGUGUGAAUUGCAGAAUCCCGUGAACCAUCGAGUCUUUGAACGCAAGUUGCGCCCGAAGCCUCGGCUAAGGGCACGUCUGCCUGGGCGUCACGCAUCGCGUCUCCCCCAAACCGCCAAGGCGGAGGGGAAGGAAGAUGGCUUCCCGUGCCUCACCCGGGCGCGGUUGGCCUAAAUUUGGAGCCCGCGGCACUUAGCUCUCGCGGCGAUAGGUGGUGAACAAGGCCUUGGCCGUGCAAACAACCCGCUGCGAAGCUCUAUGUCACGUGCGCUCGUCGGACCCUUUGAAGUUGCCUUUGGUGACUUAAAACCUUUGCGACCCCAGGUCAGGCGGGGCUACCCGCUGAAUUUAAGCAUAUCAAUAAGCGGAGG
Molecule: unclassified non-coding RNA, 399 nt
Filed under: soil metagenome
Description: partial contains 5.8S ribosomal RNA, internal transcribed spacer 2, and large subunit ribosomal RNA
Rfam family: 5.8S ribosomal RNA (bases 1-120)
Source: RNAcentral